UACGUAGGAGGCGAGCGUUGUCCGGAGUUACUGGGCGUAAAGGGUGCGCAGGCGGCGGUUCGCGUGGCGAGAUGAAAUCUCCUGGCUUACCUGGGAGGAUGGUCGCCAGACGGGGAUCGCUUGAGGGUCGGAGAGGGGCGUGGAAUUCCGGGUGGAGCGGUGAAAUGCGUAGAGAUCCGGAGGAACACCGACGGCGUAGGCAGCGCCCUGGACGACACCUGACGCUGAGGCACGAAAGCUGGGGGAGCGGAACAGG
RNAcentral lists this ribosomal RNA (256 nucleotides) under uncultured bacterium. Its description in RNAcentral is "partial 16S ribosomal RNA". It matches the Rfam family "Bacterial small subunit ribosomal RNA", at positions 524 to 776 of the family's 1533-position model. The record is from RNAcentral.